GCGCCUGUAGCUCAGCUGGAUAGAGUACCGCCCUCCGAAGGCGGGGGUCGUGGGUUCGAAUCCCGCCAGGCGCGCCA
This 77-nucleotide transfer RNA is filed under the name Lysobacteraceae bacterium. RNAcentral's name for it is "tRNA-Arg". It matches the Rfam family "tRNA". Rfam says of the family: Transfer RNA (tRNA) molecules are approximately 80 nucleotides in length. Their secondary structure includes four short double-helical elements and three loops (D, anti-codon, and T loops). Further hydrogen bonds mediate the characteristic L-shaped molecular structure. tRNAs have two regions of fundamental functional importance: the anti-codon, which is responsible for specific mRNA codon recognition, and the 3' end, to which the tRNAs corresponding amino acid is attached (by aminoacyl-tRNA synthetases). tRNAs cope with the degeneracy of the genetic code in two manners: having more than one tRNA (with a specific anti-codon) for a particular amino acid; and 'wobble' base-pairing, i.e. permitting non-standard base-pairing at the 3rd anti-codon position. The record is from RNAcentral. RNAcentral also lists the same sequence under 1 other name. Lineage: Bacteria; Pseudomonadati; Pseudomonadota; Gammaproteobacteria; Lysobacterales; Lysobacteraceae.